Molecule: long non-coding RNA, 356 nt
Organism: Harpia harpyja (harpy eagle)
Lineage: Eukaryota; Metazoa; Chordata; Aves; Accipitriformes; Accipitridae
Exons: 2
Source: RefSeq, a predicted model, not a curated record
AACACGUUAAAAGGUCUUUGUGUGGACCGCGGACUCCUUUUCCCUGUCGCAUCAUUGGCCGUAACGCUACAGCAAGUGCUGCAGCAUGAGCUUCAGCAUGUAUUUUUGCUUUCUCUUGUUCUUGUAUUAUAGUGGCCAAAUCCUCGUUUGCAUUAUUUGAAUCAGGGUAUGACUGAUUUUGAGUUUCCUCAGUAUUUUCUAAGUCCUGUUGGGCCCCCCAAUCAUCAGAGUCCAUGGGCAGGGGAAUGUCCUCCGCUCGUAGUAGCGGCUGACUUAUCUUCUUCGCAGAAGGAUUUACCACUGCCUGUUCCUCAGGUGUCAAUGGGGCCAUGGGAACAUCGGCGUUAUUCCCGCCC